GGAUUUUGUUGUUGUUGUUUAAGUAAGUUGGCAUGUGCUAAAUUGCCUCUGAUAGAAGAAGAACUCAAUCAAAACUGACAUUGUCUGUCUAGUGUUUUACUAGAAGCCCACUAGGUUGUGAUACGUUUUAAUGUUUAGACUUCAGUACUGCAAUGAACAUUAAAUCAACAACUCCAGCCCGCAUACCAAUUCAGGAAAUUAGCACAGAGCUUGAAAACUCUUGAAAAUAAGGUGUGACCCUGCUGAAGAUAAUUCUGGCUUCCAGGCUUUCAUGGAGGAUAUAUUAAUUCAUUAAAUUAUUCGAGCAUGCUGCAUACAAAUGCUGACAGAGAUUCAAAGUUCAGCCUGUGGCCAGGAAGGAUGGUGCUGAUACGAGGUGUCUCAUUUUAACCUGUCACGAGGUGAAUGAAGAGUCUCUGAAGAUCACUUGACUUAAGCUGUCAGUGAAGAAGUCUCAAAAUUGAGUUUAAUGUCAUCCCAUGCAUCCAACAAGAUCCUGGAGGUAAAAGUGUUUUCUAAAGGAUGAAACCCUAUGCAGGUGCGAAGUGCAUUUGCAAUGAUCCAUGAACUUGAACUCAGAAUCUUGGUGGAUGCAUGGCACAUGGAUCUUCAGCAAGAUUCAAA
Molecule: non-coding RNA, 624 nt
Organism: Microcebus murinus (gray mouse lemur)
Lineage: Eukaryota; Metazoa; Chordata; Mammalia; Primates; Cheirogaleidae
Source: RefSeq, a predicted model, not a curated record